This is a long non-coding RNA of Peromyscus californicus insignis, 6535 nucleotides long. RefSeq lists it as uncharacterized. The transcript has 2 exons. The record is from RefSeq and is a predicted model, not a curated record. NCBI's taxonomy places the organism in Eukaryota, Metazoa, Chordata, Mammalia, Rodentia, Cricetidae.
AAGCAACAGGAACAAUUCCUCACUGUUCUCUGCUGAGACAAACGAACCCACGUGGGGGAGGGGAGACCCCACUCUCUGAUCCAUAACCUUUCCGUGUGAAGCCGCACAUCGGGGUGACACAAGUAAUUAGCUGUCAGGUGCUGGUCUUUGCUGUCAGAGGCCAAUUUUGAGAUUAGUGUUAAUUGCAGGGGGCCCUAACGGCCUUUGCUCUCCACCCAGCAGCACCCGGCAGGCGAGCUGCCCUCCGCAGCCUGCUGCCGGGUUCCUUUCGGCUUCCAGGACUGGGGCUGGCAGAGUGGAAUCAAUUAUGGGCCAGAGAGGAUUUUCCCACAGGUCUCACUUGGAGAUGAACGGCUAUUCCUGCUGCCCAGACAGCUGGCCGGACCGUCCACUGGGAAAGGAGCCUGUGGAGGGGAGUGCGGGCCCUGUCAGCAACACUGCUGACAGUCCAUCCGUUAUCCACAGGGCUUGGCAGAGGGUGGCUGAGCCACCCCUGCCUGUCCCCACGCUGCCUGGCUUCGGCACCUACCCUGGCUUCUACUGCAUCCCAACAUCCAGUGGCCCAAAUGGAAGAACCGAGAAAAAUCAAAUCCACUUUGCCUGGGGGUCAAGAGGAAACAGAGAAAGUGAAGGGCAUGGGAUGGACACAGCCUGAUAUUAAUGUUUGGAAGUUAGUGCCAACAACCCCACCAUAGUUUUAACAGGAUUACAGACUACUUAGAAACAAGCCGUUCCUAAAUGGUAAUGUACCAAAGCCAAUUUACCAAAGACAUUGAACACUUUUAGUUUUUGACCGAUGAAUUAACUAUUCCACUCUCCAUGACGAAGGCAUUUUAAAUGACAAUACAAGUCCACUGAUGUGGGGAGAUGGGGUUCAGCUGGUAGACUGCCUGCCUGCCUGGCAUGAACAAGGGGCCAGGCAGGAUGAGACAGGAAGAUCAGAAGUUCAAAGUCAUCUCUAUUCCACAUCAAGUUCCAGUGCAGCCUGGGAAUAUUCAGAGGGAGAGAGAGAGAGACAGAGACAGAGACAGAGACAGAGAGACAGAGAGAAAUACUAAAAGAAAGAUAUAAACACCAGUGCCACCUAUGAAAUGUAAAAUAUUAAUGGAUAAAAAUAUACCAAAUGUUCCUGACUCCUUUUUGUUUUAUUCUUUUAGGAAACUGGCAUUAAGGCUUUGGAUACCAGGUCUCAUGUAGGCCCAGGCUGGCCUCAAAUUCAGUAUGUAGCUAAAGAUAAACUCCUGCAGCUGCGUCCCCAGUCCUGGAUUACAAGUGACACCCUGUUUGUGUGGGGCUAGGGACUGCACCCUCAAGCAUGCUAAGGGAACACCAACAAGCCAGCUACCCCCCCACAACCUUCUUUUGUUGUUAUUACAGCUUUUGUGGUUGGUUUGUGUGAGAGAGGCUCCCAGCUGUCCAGAGUGGCGCUGAACUCACGCUAUCAUCCUGCCUCAGGUUUCCUAGUGCUGGGAUUAUAGGAGCUUCCCUAUCCGCAUUUUUUUUCUUUUUCCUUUUCUUUUUUAUGCACAUAAAAUUUCUAUGGAUCUUUGAGGGAGUUAGCUGUAUAAUUAAAACAGUCCUUGAUUACAGUUAUUCAGUUCAAAAUUAAAUAAAAGCAGGCAAAUAAUCAUGAGUCUGAAAUAUAAAACAGUGGAAUGUGGUUGUCCUUUGGGUGACAGGUUUGAGGCAGGAUGUCUCUUGGAAACAACCGAGAUAAAAGUAUGGGCGCCCCCUGACCGUACCUCUGGAAAUCAAAGCCGAGUGAUGGGGAGAACUAGUUCUCUUUCUUGUGACUGGUUCCCUGGUCUCCACUUGGAGGGACGCUGGAGGUAGGGGAGCAGAGGUGUUAGGAAUUUGGAGCCCCCCACCUGUGUGUAUAUGGGGUAAGGGACUCAUAGGUGACUGCUCUGAAAUGCACCCAUGACAACCCUAAAUGCUAAAUCCCAGAAUGAGGUCUGUGUGGCCAACACUCCAUUGUACAAUGUCCUGGUUAACCUUGAGCCAUCUUGACUCCCUGGUGACUGACUAAAAUAAUGCCCACACCCAAAUGAACCAGACCCAAAGUCUAUACAAUUCAGCGAAUGUCUAUGCAGUUAGAAUGGGCAUUUGGAACAGAAACUGUGAAACUUCAUACUAUAUUUUACACUUUCAGUACUGAAUCUAUUUUAUGUACUUGCCCACUACUCAAAUAGAAACUCCAUGACAGAAUCAGAACUAGAAAAACAAUUAGCAUUUUCUCCUCUGGCAUAACUGUCCAUUACCUGCACUCAGUCCUGGUUAGCUUGGGUGUGUGUUGUUUAUAUUUAUUUUCAAGUUUUUAAAUAGUAAGGUUUGCAUAAUUAAAAAUAAAAUAUAACUUAAAAAACAACAACCAAGUCACUCUAUUCUCUUUGCAAGCACCGUGCAGUCUCAGGUUGGCUGAGGCACAGGAGAUGUGAGCUGUGAUUCACUACUCUAUUUUCUGCUUUUAGAACAUUUCCCAAGUUUGCCUAUGGUGAUAUUUUAUUUGUAUUAAAAUGUUAUUUGUAUAUUAAUAAAUAAAGUUGCUCGGGGGUCAGAGCUAUUAGCAAGCCAUAGGAAAGCAGGGCAGUGGUGGCGUACACUUGUAAUCCCAGCACUUGGUAGGCAGAGCUGGGUAAGUCUCUGUGUGUUCAGGGAUACAGCCAUUAUUGGAUACACAUGCCUUUAAUCUCAAUACCAAUCAUAGAAAACCUGGAGGUCUAUACAGACAGGCCGUGAUGAGGCGGUCAUGUGGUUGGGUUUACAACCAAUGAGAAGGCAGAACAGGAACUCUAUAUAAAGACUUUAACACAGGGGUAGCUCUGGUUCGGAGAGGUAGGACCACUGCGGGAGGAAGGGUAAGGUUUUAGCUCUUAGCUCUGACCUCUUGGCUUUCUUCUUUGCAUUGGUUCUGUGUUUCUUAUUUAAUAAGAAGGUUGGUUACAUUUACAAAUGGCGUCCAACGUGGUGGCAAGAGUUUACACCUAAAAACUGAGAAAAAAGAUUCUAAAACGGAGCUAAAAACAGUUCCUAAUUGUCUCUCUCAAAUGAGUGGCAGCUGCUGGUUUGAGCUACUUGUGGGUUUCUGGUGUGCACGCUCGACCUGCAGUAUGGCGGGAAUGAAGCCUCUGCAAGUGGCACAUUAAGCUGUGUGGUGGAUUUAGCCUUUGCUAGUAUAAAACAAAAAAAGAAGUUUCUGGGCUACACGCUGCUUGGCUAAAAGCAUAGACCCACAAUAGCUCCCAGAGCUGGCGGUAAACGUACUUAUCACCACCAUGUUGGGAAGCUGAGGUGGGCUGAGCCAGCAGCCACAACUGCUGCAGUUUAAAGCAAUAGAUUCACAAUAAGACAGAUUCAGAUGUAAUAGUUUAAAUGUGUGUAAAAUAUACGUAGGCUUGAAAGAGACAAAAAAGUGAUAUAUAGUUAUAUAAACAAAUACAUAGUUUUAAAAAAUAAAGUCUUUAAAGAGACAGUAAAAUUAAUAUAAAAAAUAAGCCACGUAAAGAUGAAUAUUACACAGAGAAUCUGGAUUGUGUUGUCUUUGGGACUUUUAACUGCAGAAAAAUAUUUGAUCGUAAAAGAUGUUGAGGUAAACCAAUAUGUAUAUUUUAAAGGUACCUUGACUUCAAAAUUUGGAUAUAAGGAUAUGUUGCUUUGGAAAAGAGUCUCUGCUUUUGUUCCCACAGAAAGUCAAAGGCUACGGAUUUGUUCCAGAUUAAGAUACAUCAGGUUUGACCAGCCAAGACCCCCUGAAAGGUCUCCAAUGACACCAUGGCCCAGAUGAUCCAACAUCCAGAACGAUUUCAAGGCAACUGGCUCAGACGAUACAGCCUCAUGGACUAUUCCAUAAUCCUAAAAUUUUCUUUGUGUCCCCAUAAGAUACAGUGGCCCCCUCCAGCAGGAAGUAGUAAGAGAAGCCACACCCAAAUUCCCAAAUUGUAUGUAAUUUUACUUUGUUAAGGUUAAAACCUUCCUUUUUGGGAAAAAAAGGGGAAGUGCUGUGGGAUGUUCUGUGUGGCAAAUGUGUUGCUGAUUAGUCAAUAAAUAAAACACUGAUUGGCCAUUGGCUAGGCAGGAAGUGUAGGCGGGACAAGGAGGAGAAUAAAGCUGGGAAGUGGAAGGCUGAGUCAGAGAGACACUGCCAGCCGCCACGAUGAGAAACAGCAAGUGAAGAUGCCGGUAAGCUACGAGCCAUGUGGCAAGGUAUAGAUUAAUGGAAAUGGAUUAAUUUAAGCUGUAAGAACAGUUAGCAAGAAGCCUGUCACGGCCAUACAGUUUGUAACCAAUAUAAAGUCUCUGUAUUUACUUGGUCAGGUCUGAGCGGCUGUGGGACUGGUGAGUGAUAGAGAUUUGUCCUGACUGUGGGCCAGGCAGGAAAACUCUAGCUACAUUUGCCCCUUGAUUUUAUUGGCUGAAAAUUACAUUCUCUCCAUUCUGGCCAACAGAGAUGUCCAGCUGAGCCAAGGCCACCCUUCCGUGGGCGGAUGUCGCUGCACCCAACACGUUCUGAGCUGUCUUCCUUCUCCGCCCUUGGCCUACGAGGUUCUCAGGAACGGACGUCUCUCCUCUUUCCAGUAACGUCUAGCACGGAGACAGACGGCUGUCAACGAACAUUUGGGAAUUGUGAAGAAGUAGGUGUGGGCGGAUGAUGGAGGAGGCGAGAUGACAACAGAAGGGAGGAGCCACUUGCUGAGGAGUCGUGACACAUUUCCGUACUGUGCGGGCCAAGUCAUGGGAGGUCAUCAUCCAAGCCAGGUGCAUGGUCCUUGUUCUCCUGGGACCAGCUAGUACUGUGACUAGACACAGAAGGUCAGGCUACCCACAGAGACCCACCACUGGCAAUUACACACAAAAAGCUGGGUCAACUGUGUAACAAAUUGGCACUUACUGACAUGUUACUAAAUGCAAGGAGUGCCAAUGGUUCCAUGACCCUGGAAUAUGACCCAUGCCACAUUUACUUUUCUUUUCUUUAAAAAAGAUUUAUUUAUUUUAUUUUCUCUGUGUGACUGGUGCCUACAGAGGUCAGACAAGGGCAUCAGAUCCCUGGAACCUGAGUUAUGGAUGGCUAUGAACCACCUGUGGGUGCUGGGAAUUGAACUCAGAUCCUCUGCAAGAGCAGCAACAAGUGUUCUGACUGCUGAAACAUCUCCAGGCCCACAUUUGGUUUUCUAAACAGCAGUAAAUGAAGGUCUUCCCUUGACCGUAUAGUUGGAUUUAACUCCAGAUUCCAUUAUCCUUUUAAGGUUUCACCCCUUUGUGUGUCUGAGAGAGCAGAGUGAGUUCCCAGAGAUUCACAAUCCAGGUUGAUUAAGGGGAGCCUCUGGCCUUCGGCUCCGCAGGUUCACUGAGGGAGGCACAUUUGAUCCCUUCAUUCCCCAGAGCGCUAAGACCUCCAGAGUGUCCCACAGUGAGCCUUAGACAUGCACCAUGUCUCCCGGGGUCAAACAGCUUACUGCUGGGUGCCCAGACACUCACCCGUGCAGCUGAGGGCACCGCCACUGUUGGGCGCCCAGACACUCACCCGUGCAGCUGAGGGCACCGCCACUGUUGGGUACUGAGACACUCACCCGUGCAGCUGAGGGCACUGUUUGCAAUAGGUUGAGGUCCGCCAAGCCACUCACAGGACAACUUCUUGGGAUUUCAAAUGUGGGCGCGGUGUUAGGAGAGCCCCCUAUCCGAUGUCUUUCUGAGAUCAAGAUCCCCCACCUUGAAAGCUAUCCUGCCACACAGGCAGAAGAGAAAUGACAUUUCCUUUUAUUCUUCACCAAAGCUUUCAACUAUUUAAAAUUUUAAAUUAACACACAUAAGUGCUAGUGCUUGUAUUUAUGACUUAUGUGGUAUUUUAUACUUUUAUGUAUAAGUUGCACUUUGUUUUCAAAAAGAAAAGGGUGAACAUCUACCCCCUCAAAUUACUUCUUCAUGGAAAAGCCGUUAAAACCCCUUUAUUCUCGAUAGAGUCACCUACUGUAGAAGCAAACACCGGAAUCUUGUACUCCUGCCUAGCUACACCGCCUUUCCCCAUCUCCUCACUUCUCCAAUCUCCUGUCUCUAGGAAACACCGUUAGUCUCUCAGCUGCUAUAAGAACAACUUUUGAAAGAGUCUAACCCGGAGUGAGCUCCUGUGGUGCUUGUCUUUCUAUUCCUGGCUUAUUUCACUUGACAGGAUGACUUCUAGUUCCAACUGUACUGUUAUUAAUGAUGCCAUUUCAUGCCCGCCCCCCUGCUUUAUGCUUUAAUUGUAUUCCAUUGUGUAAAUUCACCGUGCUUUCCAAUUUGUUCAAAGAUUAAUUUUUUAUUCACCGGUAGUAAAAAUCCAAUGAUAUGUAAAUACUCCAAUCCUGGGUUGAGGCGAUGUAGGUCUACAGGGGUGUGGGGUGGGCUAGGUGCCAGGACUAACUAAAUAUGAGGCAUUUGGAAACAGAAACAUGCCCUGGGUAUUUAUACAGUCUGCUUACUGUCUUGACGUUCUACUUCAUAAACAGGUCUGUAACAGAUGCUAGUCUUACAAAUAUUAAAUUGAUGCCUUUUAUUUUCA